CCGACCUUAGUUCAGUUGGCUGAGCGGAGGACUGGAGAUCCUUAGGUCGCUGGUUCGAAUCCUGCAGGUCGGA
Gossypium arboreum is the source of this 73-nucleotide non-coding RNA. The record is from the annotation of a RefSeq genome assembly. NCBI's taxonomy places the organism in Eukaryota, Viridiplantae, Streptophyta, Magnoliopsida, Malvales, Malvaceae.